This 468-nucleotide ribosomal RNA is filed under the name uncultured bacterium. Its description in RNAcentral is "partial 16S ribosomal RNA". It matches the Rfam family "Bacterial small subunit ribosomal RNA", at positions 28 to 507 of the family's 1533-position model. The record is from RNAcentral.
GACGAACGCUGGCGGCGGGCUUAACACAUGCAAGUCGAACGGAAAGGCCCUGCGUUUGUGGGGUGCUCGAGUGGCGAACGGGGGAGUAACACGUGAGUAACCUGCCCUUGACUUUGGGAUAACUUCAGGAAACUGGGGCUAAUACCGGAUAGGAGCUCCUGCUGCAUGGUGGGGGUUGGAAAGUCUCGGCGGUUGGGGAUGGACGCGCGGCUUAUCAGCUUGUUGGUGGGGUAGUGGCUGACCAAGGCUUUGACGGGUAGCCGGCCUGAGAGGGUGACCGGCCACAUUGGGACUGCGAUACGGCCCAGACUCCUACGGGAGGCAGCAGUGGGGAAUCUUGCACAAUGGGCGGAAGCCUGAUGCAGCAACGCCGCGUGCGGGAUGACGGCCUUCGGGUUGUAAACCGCUUUCGCCUGUGACGAAGCGUGAGUGACGGUAAUGGGUAAAGAAGCACCGGCUAACUACGUG